GAUGAACGCUGGCGGCGUGCCUAAUACAUGCCAGUCGAGCGAACAGAUAAGGAGCUUGCUCCUUUGACGUUAGCGGCGGACGGGUGAGUAACACGUGGGUAACCUACCUAUAAGACUGGGAUAACUUCGGGAAACCGGAGCUAAUACCGGAUAACAUUUGGAACCGCAUGGUUCUAAAGUGAAAGAUGGUUUUGCUAUCACUUAUAGAUGGACCCGCGCCGUAUUAGCUAGUUGGUAAGGUAACGGCUUACCAAGGCGACGAUACGUAGCCGACCUGAGAGGGUGAUCGGCCACACUGGAACUGGGACACGGUCCAGACUCCUACGGGAGGCAGCAGUAGGGAAUCUUCCGCAAUGGGCGAAAGCCUGACGGAGCAACGCCGCGUGAGUGAUGAAGGGUUUCGGCUCGUAAAACUCUGUUAUUAGGGAAGAACAAAUGUGUAAGUAACUGUGCACGUCUUGACGGUACCUAAUCAGAAAGCCACGGCUAACUACGUG
RNAcentral lists this ribosomal RNA (497 nucleotides) under uncultured bacterium. RNAcentral's name for it is "partial 16S ribosomal RNA". It matches the Rfam family "Bacterial small subunit ribosomal RNA", at positions 28 to 507 of the family's 1533-position model. The record is from RNAcentral.